Triticum aestivum (bread wheat) is the source of this 1589-nucleotide long non-coding RNA. RefSeq lists it as uncharacterized. The transcript has 4 exons. The record is from RefSeq and is a predicted model, not a curated record. Lineage: Eukaryota; Viridiplantae; Streptophyta; Magnoliopsida; Poales; Poaceae.
UAAUGUUCCUCACAAGAGAUAGGGCUUUGUUCCUAUAUUACUAUUUUUGGGACCCUACAUUCUUUUAUCUAUAGCAUUUAUGCUUUAUGAGCUGCAUUUAUAAAUGGAUUAUAUCAGUGAUAUUAGCUAUGUGUGUGGACGGAUAUACAUAUGUGUGAGAUAAUUUGGGGUUGAUAGGAAAUCAUUAUUUUGAUGUUUUGUUAAUUGAAGUUUGAUCUUAUGUUCUAACUGCAAACAUGUGUGCCACGUUUCCUCAAUGUGAAGCGAAAGAAGGUCGUCGCGGUGGUCGGCUACCAGGAAGUAUCUUGUUUGGCCUUGUACCAUGUCGGAUUGUCACUAUUUUUAAAAUCUACUUAUGACUAUUUUGUAAAGGACAAAUUGACAGAUUUGGCGAAAAAUGGGCGUAUUUGGAGCCGGAUGGAAAGAUUGGCAGAUUUGGAGCAGGGUGACGAUGGAGCAGACUGUUGUCACAAUAACAAAAGAGCUGAAGUGGAAGGGCUCAUGGAAGAAGAGAUGGAAUGACAAUGAUGCAACCUUGACGUGUGGCUGUUGUAUGUAUUUGAGGUAUGUAGGAAAAGAACUCUUAAUGAGGUAAAGUGAUGGGGACUCAUCUAAGGCGGAGAUGGCAACUGAGCCCAGAGGCAAACAUGGCAUUGUUCAUAGUCAGUUUGUGAAUGAACAUGUGGUGGAAAGAAUGUUUCCAUGUCCAUAUGCCUCCUUUUCUUAUUAUUCGUACUAAGGUGAGGUGCCUUAUAUCUCAUCAGUUGUCGAUAUGGAGUUCCCCAUGGUGUCCUAUUUGGAGCUCUAUUUAUGAUCAUCUCAUAAUUCAGCAUCAGCCUUACAUUUAUCCUUCCAAUCUUAAAGAUCUAUGGAAACCUAACAAUAAAGCUUGGAAUGAAAAUCUUAUUUACUCUCUGUUUGAUGCUGAGGCAGCAAGCAUUAUUAUCCAAACCCCCAUAAUUCAAACGGAGGGUAAAGAUAUCAUGUGUUGGAAACACACCCCAACAGGUUUGGAAAGACAAUAGCAUUGCUCCGAGAAUUCAGACGUUUGCUUGGAGGCUUCUUGAGAGAGCAGUUCCAACAGGCAUGCGGGCUGAAGGCGGGAAAUGACAAACAUUUUGGAAGAAAAUAGGGACAUCCAACUCAGGUGCAUCAAGCUGCUCAAGCUAUAAUGAAAGGGCUUCAGGUAGAGUCCAAAGUUAUAGGUUUUAUCGGUCCACCCUUCUGACAGAUAAUCAGGUACUUGCAAGAGCUGCAAAUGCUGGCGAAUUUCAAACCCGGGACAUUGUGAAAUCCAUUCACAGAUAGCAGAAUACUUCAUUGUUUCCAAGUCUCUUAUGUUAAAGAUAUAUCACAUCAAAAGAGAUUUGAAUGGUGUUGCUCAUAACUGUGCAAAGGACUCACUGAAAAAGCUUUGUAUUAGCUACCACAUACUAUAUUAGCUCAUACUGUACUGUAUCCCCUACCACAUACUGUAUUAGCUCAACUGAUAGGAGUAUCCAGUGUCCAGUGUUGCUCGCUUUGAGCAACUUUGUAAUCUAUGGAUUUCGUAUCCUUGAUGUAAGAUGUGUAUGAAAGAUCAAUGAAUA